AGCAGCCGCGGUAAUUCCAGCUCCAAUAGCGUAUAUUAAAGUUGUUGCAGUUAAAAAAGCUCGUAGUUGAACUUCGGGGUUUACCCAUUGGUCAGGCUUAAUUGUCUGUACUGGUGAGAUAAAUCUCUACCUUCUGAGGAACUUUCAUGUCAUUAAUUUGGUGUGAUUGGAAAUCAGGACUGUUACUUUGAAAAAAUUAGAGUGUUUAAAGCAGGCUAACGUCUGAAUACAUUAGCAUGGAAUAAUGAAAUAGGACGGACUGAUUCUAUUUCGUUGGUUUCUAGGAUCACCGUAAUGAUUAAUAGGGAUAGUUGGGGGCAUUAGUAUUCAAUUGUCAGAGGUGAAAUUCUUGGAUUUAUUGAAGACUAACUACUGCGAAAGCAUUUGCCAAGGAUGUUUUCAUUAAUCAAGAACGAAAGUUAGGGGAUCGAAGACGAUCAGAUACCGUCGUAGUCUUAACCAUAAACUAUGCCGACUAGGGAUCGGACGAAGUUAAUUUUAUAAUGACGCGUUCGGCACC
Molecule: ribosomal RNA, 520 nt
Filed under: uncultured Diversispora
Lineage: Eukaryota; Fungi; Glomeromycota; Glomeromycetes; Diversisporales; Diversisporaceae
Description: SSU rRNA
Rfam family: Eukaryotic small subunit ribosomal RNA
Source: RNAcentral